AGCAGCCGCGGUAAUUCCAGCUCCAAUAGCGUAUAUUAAAGUUGUUGCAGUUAAAAAGCUCGUAGUUGAACUUCGGGAUUUACCCAUUGGUCAGGCUUAAUUGUCUGCACUGGUGAGAUGAAUCUCUACCUUCUGAGGAACUUUCAUGCCAUUUAUUUGGUGUGAUGGGAAAUCAGGACUGUUACUUUGAAAAAUUAGAGUGUUUAAAGCAGGCUAACGUCUGAAUACAUUAGCAUGGAAUAAUGAAAUAGGACGGACUGAUUCUAUUUCGUUGGUUUCUAGGAUCACCGUAAUGAUUAAUAGGGAUAGUUGGGGGCAUUAGUAUUCAAUUGUCAGAGGUGAAAUUCUUGGAUUUAUUGAAGACUAACUACUGCGAAAGCAUUUGCCAAGGAUGUUUUCAUUAAUCAAGAACGAAAGUUAGGGGAUCGAAGACGAUCAGAUACCGUCGUAGUCUUAACCAUAAACUAUGCCGACUAGGGAUCGGAUGAUGUAAUUUUUAAUGA
Molecule: ribosomal RNA, 503 nt
Filed under: uncultured Diversispora
Lineage: Eukaryota; Fungi; Glomeromycota; Glomeromycetes; Diversisporales; Diversisporaceae
Description: SSU rRNA
Rfam family: Eukaryotic small subunit ribosomal RNA
Source: RNAcentral